Molecule: ribosomal RNA, 320 nt
Filed under: uncultured eukaryote
Lineage: Eukaryota
Description: partial 18S ribosomal RNA
Rfam family: Eukaryotic small subunit ribosomal RNA
Source: RNAcentral
CCCCUAGAUGUUCUGGGCCGCACGCGCGCUACACUGAACAGUUCAACAAGUCUUAACCUUGGCCGAUAGGUCUGGGUAAUCUUUGAACGCUGUUCGUGAUUGGGAUAGACCUUUGCAAUUAUGGGUCUUCAACGAGGAAUUCCUAGUAAACGCAAGUCAUCAGCUUGCAUUGAUUACGUCCCUGCCCUUUGUACACACCGCCCGUCGCACCUACCGAUUGAAUGGUCCGGUGAAAUCUCGGGACGGCGGCUUGGUCGCUUGCGUCCGACUGCUGAAACUUGAUUAAACCAUAUCAUUUAGUGGAAGGUGAAGUCGUAACA